Long non-coding RNA from Limulus polyphemus (Atlantic horseshoe crab), 409 nucleotides. RefSeq lists it as uncharacterized. The transcript is spliced from 3 exons. The record is from RefSeq and is a predicted model, not a curated record. NCBI's taxonomy places the organism in Eukaryota, Metazoa, Arthropoda, Merostomata, Xiphosura, Limulidae.
ACAUCACACGUCUAAUAUUGAUGGAAACUAGCUAUAGCGUAACUGAAUAAAAGGAUCUAGCCAUCGUGAUGGGGUGGUUGGCUUAUGGAAUUAGUUGCCGUCGGCAGUAAUGGAGGCCAAAAGUCUAAGAGGAGAAUCUAUGAUUUCCAGGAAAUAUAAUAAAAGCUUCUGAUGAGGACCUUUUGAGAUACGAUGACGUUUUUAAUCGUCGUGGGUGAUUCUUCUGCUUGUCUUUAUUGCCACUUUAGACCAUGUAAAUUGACAAAAUUAGGGUUUUAAAAAAGUACAAGUUAAGUACAAGUAUAGCAUUACUAGUGUAAGGCUCUCUUGUUGUAAACAUCGUGGUACAUAUAAACCUUGAUAUUAAUUAGAAAGCAUGACAUUAUCUAGUUACAAUUGUUCGAUAAAA